UGAGUAACGCGUGGAUAACCUGCCUCACACUGGGGGAUAACAGUUAGAAAUGACUGCUAAUACCGCAUAAGCGCACAGUGCCGCAUGGCAGUGUGUGAAAAACUCCGGUGGUGUGAGAUGGAUCCGCGUCUGAUUAGGUAGUUGGUGGGGUAACGGCCCACCAAGCCGACGAUCAGUAGCCGACCUGAGAGGGUGACCGGCCACAUUGGGACUGAGACACGGCCCAAACUCCUACGGGAGGCAGCAUG
Molecule: ribosomal RNA, 248 nt
Filed under: uncultured bacterium
Lineage: Bacteria
Description: partial 16S ribosomal RNA
Rfam family: Bacterial small subunit ribosomal RNA
Source: RNAcentral